UACGUAGGGUGCGAGCGUUAAUCGGAAUUACUGGGCGUAAAGCGUGCGCAGGCGGUUCGUUGUGUCGGCGGUGAAAGCCCCGGGCUCAACCUGGGAAUGGCCGUUGAAACUGGCGAACUGGAGUGUGGCAGAGGGGGGUGGAAUUCCGCGUGUAGCAGUGAAAUGCGUAGAGAUGCGGAGGAACACCGAUGGCGAAGGCAGCCCCCUGGGCCAAUACUGACGCUCAUGCACGAAAGCGUGGGGAGCAAACAGG
RNAcentral lists this ribosomal RNA (253 nucleotides) under uncultured bacterium. RNAcentral describes it as "partial 16S ribosomal RNA". It matches the Rfam family "Bacterial small subunit ribosomal RNA", at positions 524 to 776 of the family's 1533-position model. The record is from RNAcentral.